Molecule: non-coding RNA, 5941 nt
Organism: Malus domestica (apple)
Lineage: Eukaryota; Viridiplantae; Streptophyta; Magnoliopsida; Rosales; Rosaceae
Source: RefSeq, a predicted model, not a curated record
UAAUUUCUUCAGAACCCGCACUCAGCUUCGCCAUCUCUCUUCCAUCUCUGCUCUUUUCGAUCUCUGCUUCGCGCUCUUCAAUCUUUGGUCCUUCGUCAGUGAGCGUUGGGAGGGUUUCAAGGAUUUCUGGUGCGAACGAUUCUCCUUCCUCACCAACUACUCCAAGUUCGUUAAGCAGGACAAGCCCCUUCCUCCCUGGUCCUACUCUGACGUCGAAGCCUUCAUUGCUCUUGACCCUGUUCAUGGCCCCGCUGUAAUUUCCUGCCCUUCUGUUUUUUUAUCCAUUCUUUUCAGUUUAUAAGUGUUAAUGGUAAAUGGGUUUCUUUGAUUUCGUGUUUUUGUGACCUCUGUGGACCUGGGUGUUUGUAUUUUUGUUUUCCUUUUGAUAUUUUUCCUGUUUUGUCAUCUGGGUAUUUGUUUAUGUUUCUCCUUGAUUUAAUUGUUGAGCUGUGCCCCUUUCUGUCAUUGAUGUUCGAGUGCUCAAUCUCUUGGUCGAGGUCACUUGGGUGUGUCUAAUUUCGGGAUAUGAAGGUUUUGUAUUUUCUGUUUAUCCUCCUCCUUUACCCGAACGAGAAAUCUGAAAUCAACAACCCAAAACUCACUCAUGGUAGCCCUUGGCUUGCCGCAUUCCUCGUAUCCUGGUGGUUCAUUCUCUCCAUUCGAUUCAAUUUCGGUGAGUUCUUCGUUGAUCCUUUCCCAAUUUGGUUUUUUUGGACGUCUUCAGACGUGGUUUUGAUUUCGGUGAGUUCUGGGUUAUUGCUUUUGGCUUCUGGGUUUUUAUUUUUCGGCUGUUUGAUGAAUCUCUGUGUGAGAUUUUGGGGGGUUUUUUAGUUACUUUGUAUUUGGGGUUUUGGGUAAGCAAAGAAACUAAAAGAAUUCAGUUUUAAUGAUCAAAUCAGUUUCUUUUAAGAGUUCUGAUUAGUAGUUUGGAUGGCUUAUACAUAUAAAUAUACAACCCAUAUUGUUAAUUGUAUGUAAGAAUUGACUCAAGACUGGAAAAAUAUGAACUUAUCAAUGAACUCCUUCAAUUCAAUUCUUUUAUGAAUGGGUUAUCUUAUACCACCUGUUUGUGGAUGAGAUCGUCUACCAAAAGAGUAGGGAGUGCAAACCAGAAGGAUGAAUUAAAGGAGUUUGUCAAGGAGAAAGUUUGUGAACAAAAAAACAUCUAAUCGAGAGUUUGAUCGGAUCCAGUUGUUGGAUAAUCCCUGAAGUAACAAGAAGGAACUGACUACUGGGAUUUUUUUUAGCAAACAUUUGCAGUUUUGUCCAGAGUGCACGGUUUGGUUGUCUGCAUGUGGAAGAGGCUGCGAGGAAAGGAUUAUGCUGGAUGUUGCACUGAUCUUGCUCUUAGUUUUCCAGGUGCAACCCAGGCUCUUCUACAAAGCUGUCUCACUUUUGGGGCGUUCUCAUUUGUUAUUGAAGCCCUAAACAAGCAGCAGCCGGCUUUAGCACAACCAUUUUCUGUGAGGAAGAAAAGUGAGCAAGUUCGUCCCUUGGUGCUCCCCCUUCAACUUUCACUCACGGGAGAACUAAAAGCGGGUUUCACCUUUUGCAAUUCCUUGAAGAAUCGCAAGAAGGGCACUUCUCACCAGCCUAAGAAAGGUUGUUCCAAAAAGGCAGCACAGCUUGGACCUCUUUACGAGAAUUCAGGGUUUUUGCUCGCCAGACAAUGAUAGGCGAAUCACCACAAGCAGCAGUAAUUAUGCUGCAAACUGAAUUCAGGAUGACUAACCUGGAGUCUUCAUGGUGGUCGCACCUCUCCUCAUCUCUGCUCCUCCUCCAAAACCCUUCUUCCAGGACCUAGGAAACAAGUAGCAAUGCAGAGGCCCUGUUGGAGAGAUUGUGGACCUCUGUUAAAUCACAGUCCAGUGAAGGGAUUAGCCUGUCCGACUUUGUGUUUUAGAUGAAUCCGUUUCGGAUUGGGAGAAAAUUUAAACCCAGAAAAAGUUGGGUUUCCUGGUGAAUUGUCCGGCAAAUUUCAGGUCGGCAACGAACAGAUUGAUCACAUCAUGAGUUUUCCGACUGAUUUAUUCAAUCCUAUCAGUUCUGAUUGCCCCUCCAUAACAUUUGCAGCACCAUCUGCCUUGCUCUCAGCAUAGCUUGGCUUUCAGUUCCUCAGGGGGAAUGGUGGAUGUGAGAGUUUCUUUUACAACAAUUCAAAGGGAAGAGCUUGAGAGACAGUAGACUCUUCCCCUAUUCCUCCACAUUCACUUUUACCAAUUUUUCCAAGAACACAUUAAAUUCCCUCAAAAUAUAAGCUGAGGUAUGAAAAAGCUUCAAAUUCCUUGGUUUCCUCCAAUUAGUAUGCAGAACUCUCAAAAAAAAAGAAGAAGUGAGGGUUGAAUGUCUACCCUCAUAUACACACAGAGAGAUAUGGAAAAAUUUAGAAUGGUGAAGUGAGGGUUCAAUGACUUAUUACUCAUUUGGUUCUAUUUAAAUAAAGUUCGCUGAUUGGGUUGAUUUGUGUUGUGUACAUAUACAUCUUGGGUUUUUUUUAUGGACUUAUUUAUUUCUGUAUCGAUUGCUGACAUAAUGGAUAGGGUGCCAAAGAGAAAGGUGGCAUUAGGAAUAAUGGCUUUUUGAUAGAAGUAGAGUUUGAUCUCUUCAUUUGGGUUGUGCAUAUUUCGUUUGAUCUCUUAUUUUGGGUUGUGUAGAUUUCGUUUGAAUUAAUUUGGGUUGCCAUUUGUAAUUCUCUGUUUUUUCACUCAAACAUUGUUUAUGAAAAUUGAAGCUAUAAAAUAUUUCAUAUGAUUUUCAAUCCCGCAGUAUUGCGUGGGUACAAGUUUCUAGUUUAUAUAUACUAAAACUGAGUUUUAGGAUGGCACUAUUGAUCUAUAGUGUGCGGACGGAUUUGCCCCUCAUUUUCUUUAGUGUUCUCUGAUUUUGGUGGGAUUGUGCAAUGAAUUGGCCAUUUUGCCAUUAAUCAUACCUGCUGCGCGUGCCUGCUGCCCGUGUGGCUUUCGUGUUUUGUGGGAAAGAUGCUGGAACCCUUUCCUCUUCUUUUCUCCUCUCUCUCUCCCGUCUGUGUUUUGCCUUUUUCGAUCUCUCUAUUUCUUUCGUUUCGAUUCUGAUCUGAUCGUUGAGUGAUCAGUAUUGGCAGGCGCAAGGACACGGUGGAUCUGCAGGUAAAAGUUCUUCUCUGUACAAUAGUUACGAACUACAGUUUGUGUUUGGAUGGCUGUGAUUCAUGUUACAUGAUCUUGGUGAUUCAAUGUUUUAGAUUGGAUUUUUGUGGUUUUGAAUUUGUGGGUUUUUUUUUUUUUUUUUUUUUUUGCUCUGUACAACUUUUGUAAAAGUGAAGUGUUCAUUUUCAAUUUUGAGAUUGAAUUGAAGUGUGUAGAAUUUAAUUCAAGCAGAUUUGGUUUGGUUUCAUUACAUUUGAUUGUUUGAUCUUUACUGCUAGAGUAUUAGAUGAAAUCAAAAUUUAGUUUAGAGAUUGGAGUGAUGGAUUAUAUUAAUUUCCUGGCAAAAUUCAUGUUUUUAUCAUUAUUAAAGUAAAUACAUAGACUUGAUGCAAAAUUUGGAUUCUUCAGAGGAGCAGAUUAUAGUUUUUCAGUUUGAUUUAUAGUUUUGUUUAAUUAGGAAUAUAGUGAAAAUGAAAAUGAACAAAAAAGGGUUAGUGAGAAAAUGACAAGUUUUCUUUGUGUUUAUUACAAAAUUAGUAAGUUGAAAAUUUUGAGAGUAUAUUGCUUCUUGGAGCAGGUAUUGUUUCGAGAGUGUGAAUCCCAUGUCGGGAAUUGAAGUGUUACGUAAAUAGUUUGAAAUAUCUCGGGCGUCUCCACCCGUUGCCAAUUGGUUUCGGGUCGGAUGCUCGAAUUGCAAUAGAAUAAAAAGUAUAGUUGUUUUUUUUUAUCAUCUUUCAUUGUUUGAGUGGGGAAUAUAAUCUUUAUACAAAUUGCUUCCUGAUGGUGUUUGUAUGGUUCUGUAUUUAUGUGUGUGAUCCUUCAUCCCGACUUUGAAUGCAUAAACUAGCUGGAUGAAGAGGUUUUGUUGUUAUUGCCUUGCCCAAAACAAGGAUUUCAUUGAGGGCUAAAUAGAUUUCUUAUAACUGGGUUCUUAUGUCGUCAGGGAAGGUUAAGAGUUCUUUAUCCUUUUUCGUAUUUCAGUCAAAUGAUGUAUCUUUUGACAUCUGUGCUAAGUGCUUCGUGAUUCCUAUCAGUCAAUUGAUGUAUUUUUCAGUCAGUGAAAUGCUAUUAUGAAUUGGAGUGGUUCCUAUUGUCCUUGAGUGAUUCCUAUCACAACAAUCAGGGAGGAAAUCCCUCUGUGUUUUGUUUUUUUCUUAUAGGUCUAGGAUUAUUCAAAUGAUACAGCACUGAACAAGAGUUAGGACUUCAACUCAGUGUCGCAAAAACUUACUACCAAUAGAAGGUUUGUAAGCACUAAUACUCCGACUCAGAUCCUUACCGAAGUUAUUUUGAAAGUUGAAACGAUAUAGCAGUAGGCCCAAGGUUAUUAGAUGAAAUCAAAAUUUAGUUUAGAGAUUGGAGUGAUGGAUUUAGUAAAUUGAUACAUAUCUUGCCAGUUAGAUUAUGUAUUUGAAGGAUUUUUUUUUUUUUAAAUAAAUCCCUUAUUAAACACGUUUUAACAAUUGGUCUUUGGUUCUAUAUAUUUGAUAAAAAAUUGAGUGCAAAGAGUAACCAGUUUGAUUGAAGUGUGUUAUCACCAUUCUCUUACAUGCUUAAAUGAAUUGCCACUAAGUUCAGACAUGUAAAAUUGUGUAAUCAGACCUCAAGAAGAGAGCUAAAGCAGGGAUUUAAACCAAGAGGACCAAAGCAUAAUCUUGACAGCUCCAAAGGAACAACUUGAGGAAUGUGUGGAUAAACACUUUUGUAUAUAACAAUCUACCAAAUGUUUUCAAUGUAUUAAUGUUUUGCAACAUAAUCUUUUAUAUCUUGCACGCAUAAUCUUUCAUACAAUUUCCAACCCUGUAGCAAUUUGUGGGUACAAAUUUCUAAUGAGAACUAAAACUUAGUUUAUAUGUGAAUCUGCUAGGGUUCCCAUCAGCACGUGUGGCUCGUGUGAAGAGGCUCAGCGCUUCAAGCUAUUCCAGCAGGUCACGGGUUCCAGUCCAGCACGCAGCACAACUUUUGGGAUUUUAUUUUUCAGCGCCUUCUUUGAUGCUCUCGUGUCCCAGGUUCGAUCCCAGGUGUGUCCUCUUCCAUUCCCUUUAUUUUAUUUUUCGUUUUGUAUCAUUUUAUACUUUGUUCUGCUUUGUCUUUUGUUUUAUUUUCUAGUUUUAUUUUUCGUCUUUCUAUUUCUAAUCAAUUAAGGUGGUGUUUUAUUUUUAUUUUGUUGUUUUAGUUUAUUUUUGUUUUUCUUCUACUUUCCACACCUUGAGGAUAAUGUGUGAUUUAAGUUUGAAAGUGGGAAAUAAGAAAUUUUAGAUUUUUAAUUUUUGAGUCAAAUUAAAAAAUUUCAUUCUUUUAAGUUAAUAUCCAUAGUUUAUUUUAAACGUUAGAACAAAUGAACAUAGUGAGGGUUCAUCUCAUAGUAGAGUCUUUUCUAUUUAUUAUUGCUUAGACGCUAAUUCAUGAGUUAUACUUUGAAAUUUGCAUGUUCACUUCAACAUGGUUUGUGGGGAGUGAGAUUGAAACACUUACUUUUAGUUUGAAUGUAUUUUAAUUUUUGUUUUUAGUAAAGUUUAGUAUGUGUUACAAAUAAAGUAAUAAUUGUUUCACCUGAAACUUUGCUUAGUAAUCGGGUCAGUCCUGCCUAAUAAGCAGUGAUUCUCGCGUAAAACGGUUAAGUUUUGGCAUGGGGUAGGGUGGUUAGUUGGUUUUGUAGUCUUUUCAGCUUGAGUUAAUAAGUCGGUGUUCUACAUCUAAUGCCCUAAAGCCUUUGUGGUUUGGGAGUCAUUGACCUAAAGCUUGUUACAUGGGUUGGAUCGAAAGCUUAAGGGAACUGACAUUGCACGACAACUACUGUUACUAGAAGAAAAAAA